RNAcentral lists this ribosomal RNA (496 nucleotides) under uncultured bacterium. RNAcentral describes it as "partial 16S ribosomal RNA". It matches the Rfam family "Bacterial small subunit ribosomal RNA", at positions 29 to 507 of the family's 1533-position model. The record is from RNAcentral.
AUGAACGCUGGCGGCGUGCCUAAUACAUGCAAGUCGAGCGAACAGAUGAGGAGCUUGCUCCUCUGCCGUUAGCGGCGGACGGGUGAGUAACACGUGGAUAACCUACCUAUAAGACUGGGAUAACUUCGGGAAACCGGAGCUAAUACCGGAUAAUAUAUUGAACCGCAUGGUUCAAUAGUGAAAGACGGUUUUGCUGUCACUUAUAGAUGGAUCCGCGCCGCAUUAGCUAGUUGGUAAGGUAACGGCUUACCAAGGCAACGAUGCGUAGCCGACCUGAGAGGGUGAUCGGCCACACUGGAACUGAGACACGGUCCAGACGCCUACGGGAGGCAGCAGUAGGGAAUCGUCCGCAAUGGGCGAAAGCCUGACGGAGCAACGCCGCGUGAGUGAUGAAGGUCUUCGGAUCGUAAAACUCUGUUAUUAGGGAAGAACAAAUGUGUAAGUAACUAUGCACGUCUUGACGGUACCUAAUCAGAAAGCCACGGCUAACUACGUG